Molecule: ribosomal RNA, 253 nt
Filed under: uncultured Legionella sp.
Lineage: Bacteria; Pseudomonadati; Pseudomonadota; Gammaproteobacteria; Legionellales; Legionellaceae
Description: partial 16S ribosomal RNA
Rfam family: Bacterial small subunit ribosomal RNA
Source: RNAcentral
UACGGAGGGUGCGAGCGUUAAUCGGAAUUAUUGGGCGUAAAGGGUGCGUAGGUGGUUUAAUAAGUUAUGUGUAAAAUUCCUGGGCUCAACCUGGGGUGGACAGAUAAGACUGUUAGACUGGAGUACAGGAGAGGGUAGUGGAAUUUCCGGUGUAGCGGUGAAAUGCGUAGAGAUCGGAAGGAACACCGGUGGCGAAGGCGGCUAUCUGGCCUGAUACUGACACUGAGGCACGAAAGCGUGGGGAGCGAACAGG